AGUGAACGCUGGCGGCAGGCCUAACACAUGCAAGUCGAGCGGCAGCGCGUCCGACCACCCUCGGGUGGUUGGAUGGCGGCGAGCGGCGGACGGGUGAGGAAUGCAUCGGAAUCUGCCUCGUUGUGGGGGAUAACGUAGGGAAACUUACGCUAAUACCGCAUACGACCUACGGGUGAAAGUGGGGGACCUUCGGGCCUCACGCGAUGAGAUGAGCCGAUGCCGGAUUAGCUAGUUGGCGGGGUAAAGGCCCACCAAGGCGACGAUCCGUAGCUGGUCUGAGAGGAUGAUCAGCCACACUGGAACUGAGACACGGUCCAGACUCCUACGGGAGGCAGCAGUGGGGAAUAUUGGACAAUGGGGGCAACCCUGAUCCAGCCAUG
RNAcentral lists this ribosomal RNA (380 nucleotides) under uncultured bacterium. RNAcentral's name for it is "bacterial SSU rRNA". It matches the Rfam family "Bacterial small subunit ribosomal RNA", at positions 30 to 396 of the family's 1533-position model. The record is from RNAcentral.